RNAcentral lists this ribosomal RNA (894 nucleotides) under uncultured archaeon. RNAcentral describes it as "bacterial SSU rRNA". It matches the Rfam family "Archaeal small subunit ribosomal RNA", at positions 1 to 892 of the family's 1478-position model. The record is from RNAcentral.
GCCCUUUUCCGGUUGAUCCUGCCGGAAGCCAUUGCUAUCGGGGUCCGAUUAAGCCAUGCUAGUCGCACGGGUUUAGACCCGUGGCGGAAAGCUCAGUAACACGUGGCCAAACUGCCCUGUGGAUCAGGAUAACCUCGGGAAACUGAGGCUAAUCCUGAAUAAGGCUCACAUCUUGGAGUAGAGUGAGUCUGAAAUGCUACGGCGCCACAGGAUGUGGCUGCGGCCGAUUAGGUAGACGGUGGGGUAACGGCCCACCGUGCCCAUAAUCGGUACGGGUUGUGAGAGCAAGAGCCCGGAGACGGUAUCUGAGACAAGAUACCGGGCCCUACGGGGCGCAGCAGGCGCGAAACCUUUACACUGUGCGAGAGCGCGAUAAGGGGACCCCGAGUGCGAGGGCAUAUAGUCCUCGCUUUUCUGGACUGUAGGGAGGUCCAGGAAUAAGAGCUGGGCAAGACCGGUGCCAGCCGCCGCGGUAAUACCGGCAGCUCAAGUGAUGGCCGAUUUUAUUGGGCCUAAAGCGUCCGUAGCCGGCCAGACAGGUCCGUCGGGAAAUCUGCACGCCCAACGUGCAGACGUCCGGCGGAAACCAGCUGGCUUGGGGCCGGAAGACCCAGGGGGUACGUCCGGGGUAGGAGUGAAAUCCUGUAAUCCCGGACGGACCGCCGGUGGCGAAAGCGCCCUGGGAGGACGGACCCGACGGUGAGGGACGAAAGCUAGGGUCACGAACCGGAUUAGAUACCCGGGUAGUCCUAGCCGUAAACGAUGCCCGCUAGGUUUGGCGCAGGCUACGAGCCUGCGCUGUGCCACAGCGAAGCGCUAAGCGGGCCGCCUGGGAAGUACGUCUGCAAGGAUGAAACUUAAAGGAAUUGGCGGGGGAGCACUACAACCGGAGGA